This is a long non-coding RNA of Dermochelys coriacea (leatherback sea turtle), 506 nucleotides long. RefSeq lists it as uncharacterized. The transcript is spliced from 3 exons. NCBI's taxonomy places the organism in Eukaryota, Metazoa, Chordata, Testudines, Dermochelyidae. The record is from RefSeq and is a predicted model, not a curated record.
UUCUGCAGCAUUUGAUCCCGACUACUGCCAGAGACAGAAGGCUGGAAUAGAUAGAGUGCUGAUCCAAUCAGAUAUCAACAACCCAAAAAGAGCCAUUGACAUCACUUCUCAGCAUAGGUCAGCACUACUCAAGCAAGUUUAUAACCAACUACUUUGACAGCCAGUUAGAAAGCUCUGAUGUGUUUGACAACUCAUCCAUCACUGACCAUAUGGUAUGAACUAGAAUACAGCAAUCAGCAGCAACAGCAGUGCCAGAUGGGGAAGGAGGGAGAACAACUGGCUCUAUAUGGACGGGGAAGCUGGAAUCUGAGAUAGGAAGAAAUUUUUCUCCAGAGCAUGGAGAAUUUCCUCCAGGGCUGCUCUGCAAAUGCUAGUGCAAGAUCAAUAAACUGCAGUCAACUGUGUUGUGCCUCCAAAUCUCCACCUCCCCCACCCACCACCACACACACACUUGGGUUGGGAAAAGGGCUGUGGAGCUCCAUAAUCAAGGAUCCACUGGCCCCAAA